RNAcentral lists this ribosomal RNA (253 nucleotides) under uncultured bacterium. Its description in RNAcentral is "partial 16S ribosomal RNA". It matches the Rfam family "Bacterial small subunit ribosomal RNA", at positions 524 to 771 of the family's 1533-position model. The record is from RNAcentral.
UACGAACUGUGCAAACGUUAUUCGGAUUCACUGGGCUUAAAGGGUGCGUAGGCGGCCAUGUAAGUAGGGUGUGAAAUCCCCCCGGCUUAACCGGGGGAACUGCGCCCCUAAAACUGUGUGGGCUGGAGUGAGAUAGGGGUGUGUGGAACUUCCGGUGGAGCGGUGAAAUGUGUUGAUAUCGGAAGGAACGCCGGUGGCGAAAGCGAGCCCCUGGACGUCUACUGACGCUGAGACGCGAAAGCCAGGGGAGCGA